AUUGAACGCUGGCGGCAGGCCUAACACAUGCAAGUCGAACGGUAACAGGAAGCAGCUUGCUGCUUUGCUGACGAGUGGCGGACGGGUGAGUAAUGUCUGGGAAACUGCCUGAUGGAGGGGGAUAACUACUGGAAACGGUAGCUAAUACCGCAUAACGUCGCAAGACCAAAGAGGGGGACCUUCGGGCCUCUUGCCAUCGGAUGUGCCCAGAUGGGAUUAGCUAGUAGGUGGGGUAACGGCUCACCUAGGCGACGAUCCCUAGCUGGUCUGAGAGGAUGACCAGCCACACUGGAACUGAGACACGGUCCAGACUCCUACGGGAGGCAGCAGUGGGGAAUAUUGCACAAUGGGCGCAAGCCUGAUGCAGCCAUGCCGCGUGUAUGAAGAAGGCCUUCGGGUUGUAAAGUACUUUCGGCGGGGAGGAAGGGAGUAAAGUUAAUACCUUUGCUCAUUGACGUUACCCGCAGAAGAAGCACCGGCUAACUCCGUG
Molecule: ribosomal RNA, 490 nt
Filed under: uncultured bacterium
Lineage: Bacteria
Description: partial 16S ribosomal RNA
Rfam family: Bacterial small subunit ribosomal RNA
Source: RNAcentral